Molecule: ribosomal RNA, 274 nt
Filed under: uncultured bacterium
Lineage: Bacteria
Description: partial 16S ribosomal RNA
Rfam family: Bacterial small subunit ribosomal RNA
Source: RNAcentral
AUACGGAGGGUGCAAGCGUUACUCGGAAUCACUGGGCGUAAAGCGCGCGCAGGCGGGCUGAUAAGUUGGAUGUGAAAGCCUACGGCUCAACCGUAGAACUGCAUCCAAAACUGUCAGUCUAGAGUGUGGGAGAGGAAGAUGGAAUUAGUUGUGUAGGGGUAAAAUCCGUAGAGAUAACUAGGAAUACCAAAAGCGAAGGCAAUCUUCCGGAACACUACUGACGCUGAGGCGCGAAGGCGUGGGGAGCAAACAGGAUUAGAAACCCCGGUAGUCC